GAUGAACGCUGGCGGCGUGCCUAAUACAUGCAAGUCGAGCGAACAGACGAGGAGCUUGCUCCUCUGACGGUAGCGGCGGACGGGUGAUGAACACGUGGAUAACAUACCUAUAAGACUGGGAUAACUUCGGGAAACCGGAGCGAAUACCGGGUAAUAUAUUGAACCGCAUGGUUCAAGAGUGAAAGACGGUUUUGCUGUCACUUAGAGAUGGGUCCGCGGCGCAUUAGCUAGUUGGUAAGGUAACGGCUUACCAAGGCAACGAUGCGUAGCCGACCUGAGAGGGUGAUCGGCCACACCGGAACUGAGGCGCGGUCCAGCCUCCUACGGGAGGCAGCAGUAGGGGAUCUUCCGCAAUGGGCGAAAGCCUGACGGAGCAACGCCGCGUGAGUGAUGAAGGUCUUCGGAUCGUAAAACUCUGUUAUUAGGGAAGAACAAAUGUGUAAGUAACUAUGCACGUCUUGACGGUACCUAAUCAGAAAGCCACGGCUAACUACGUG
RNAcentral lists this ribosomal RNA (497 nucleotides) under uncultured bacterium. RNAcentral describes it as "partial 16S ribosomal RNA". It matches the Rfam family "Bacterial small subunit ribosomal RNA", at positions 28 to 507 of the family's 1533-position model. The record is from RNAcentral.